AUUGAGUUCUUUCCUUGGCUGGAGGGCUCUAAGCCAGGGAAGCUUGGCGAGGCUGUGUGUUCUCUGCUGAUGACAUGUCCUCCUGCUCUGCGGGGGUCCAACUUUGGGAGCCGCUGAGAGCUUCAAGGCCCCCUUGGUCCACAAGAAGGAGAAUCCAGGACAAGUGUCUGGAAAGUGUUUGAGCAAGAGCGCCCGCCCUGUGCAGCCAGUCUGGCUACCCUCAUAGGAAGGGCUCUUCACUCUGGGCAGCGGUGGACAGAGGCAGUGGAGGCUGGAUGCGGGUUCUCAGAUUGACAAGUAUCUCUAUGCCAUGCGGCUCUCCGAUGAAACUCUCAUAGAUAUCAUGACUCGCUUCAGGAAGGAGAUGAAGAAUGGCCUCUCCCGGGAUUUUAAUCCAACAGCCACAGUCAAGAUGUUGCCAACAUUCGUAAGGUCCAUUCCUGAUGGCUCUGAAAAGGGAGAUUUCAUUGCCCUGGAUCUUGGUGGGUCUUCCUUUCGAAUUCUGCGGGUGCAAGUGAAUCAUGAGAAAAACCAGAAUGUUCACAUGGAGUCCGAGGUUUAUGACACCCCAGAGAACAUCGUGCACGGCAGUGGAAGCCAGCUUUUUGAUCAUGUUGCUGAGUGCCUGGGAGAUUUCAUGGAGAAAAGGAAGAUCAAGGACAAGAAGUUACCUGUGGGAUUCACGUUUUCUUUUCCUUGCCAACAAUCCAAAAUAGAUGAGGCCAUCCUGAUCACCUGGACAAAGCGAUUUAAAGCGAGCGGAGUGGAAGGAGCAGAUGUGGUCAAGCUGCUUAACAAAGCCAUCAAAAAGCGAGGGGACUAUGAUGCCAACAUCGUAGCUGUGGUGAAUGACACAGUGGGCACCAUGAUGACCUGUGGCUAUGACGACCAGCACUGUGAAGUCGGCCUGAUCAUCGGCACUGGCACCAAUGCUUGCUACAUGGAGGAACUGAGGCACAUUGAUCUGGUGGAAGGAGACGAGGGGAGGAUGUGUAUCAAUACAGAAUGGGGAGCCUUUGGAGACGAUGGAUCAUUAGAAGACAUCCGGACAGAGUUUGACAGGGAGAUAGACCGGGGAUCCCUCAACCCUGGAAAACAGCUGUUUGAGAAGAUGGUCAGUGGCAUGUACUUGGGAGAGCUGGUUCGACUGAUCCUAGUCAAGAUGGCCAAGGAGGGCCUCUUAUUUGAAGGGCGGAUCACCCCGGAGCUGCUCACCCGAGGGAAGUUUAACACCAGUGAUGUGUCAGCCAUCGAAAAGAAUAAGGAAGGCCUCCACAAUGCCAAAGAAAUCCUGACCCGCCUGGGAGUGGAGCCGUCCGAUGAUGACUGUGUCUCAGUCCAGCACGUUUGCACCAUUGUCUCAUUUCGCUCAGCCAACUUGGUGGCUGCCACACUGGGCGCCAUCUUGAACCGCCUGCGUGAUAACAAGGGCACACCCAGGCUGCGGACCACGGUUGGUGUCGACGGAUCUCUUUACAAGACGCACCCACAGUAUUCCCGGCGUUUCCACAAGACUCUAAGGCGCUUGGUGCCAGACUCCGAUGUGCGCUUCCUCCUCUCGGAGAGUGGCAGCGGCAAGGGGGCUGCCAUGGUGACGGCGGUGGCCUACCGCUUGGCCGAGCAGCACCGGCAGAUAGAGGAGACCCUGGCUCAUUUCCACCUCACCAAGGACAUGCUGCUGGAGGUGAAGAAGAGGAUGCGGGCCGAGAUGGAGCUGGGGCUGAGGAAGCAGACGCACAACAAUGCCGCGGUUAAGAUGCUGCCCUCCUUCGUCCGGAGAACUCCCGACGGGACCGAGAAUGGUGACUUCUUGGCCCUGGAUCUUGGAGGAACCAAUUUCCGUGUGCUGCUGGUGAAAAUCCGUAGUGGGAAAAAGAGAACGGUGGAAAUGCACAACAAGAUCUACGCCAUUCCUAUUGAAAUCAUGCAGGGCACUGGGGAAGAGGUGAGAUUACAAAACCAUAGUGCAUGUGCACUGCACACACGGCCAGUGGCACCGGCAGUCACGUGAUGACCAAAAUCCGCCACGGGAUGCCCACAUGGAUUUGUGUCUUUGUGGCCCAGAAGCACCAGAUGCUUUUUGCCAUGCCUGGCUUGUGUGUGACACUCUGGUGGCUGAGAAGAUUCUGGAAAAGGAGGCUCACUCUGCAUGUGUGUGGGGUGUGUUUUCCUACGUGUGUGUGUGUAUACACACUUUGGUCCAUGUGCACUGAUAAAAUUAAAACCACAGAGAGCACGGGCGAUCCUUUCUUUUCCCCUGCAGCUGUUUGAUCACAUUGUCUCCUGCAUCUCUGACUUCUUGGACUACAUGGGGAUCAAAGGCCCCAGGAUGCCUCUGGGCUUCACGUUCUCAUUUCCCUGCCAGCAGACGAGUCUGGACGCGGGAAUCUUGAUCACGUGGACAAAGGGUUUUAAGGCAACAGACUGCGUGGGCCACGAUGUAGUCACCUUACUAAGGGAUGCGAUAAAAAGGAGAGAGGUAACUAUUAAAAGAAUGUUUUUUAAAAUCUUUACUGUUUUAGGGGCUUCUAAAAAGUGUAUUUGCCUGUUGUAAAGAAUUCAGGCCAGGCGUGGUGGCUCAUGCCUGUAAUCCCAGCACUUUGGGAGGCCGAGGCGGGUGGAUCAUGAGGUCAGGAGUUCUAGACCAGCCCGGGCAAUAUGGUGAAACCCCGUCUCUACUAAAGUUACACAAAUUAGCCAGGCAUGGUGGUGCGCACCUGUAGUCCCAGCUACUCGGGAGACUGAGGCAGAAGAAUCGCUUCAACCCAGGAGGAGGUUGCAGUGAGCUGAGAUCCCGCCACUGCACUACAGCCUGGGCGACAGAGCAAGACUCCAUCUCAAAAUAAAUAAAU
This 2852-nucleotide small RNA is filed under the name Pan troglodytes (chimpanzee). RNAcentral describes it as "processed transcript". The record is from RNAcentral. Lineage: Eukaryota; Metazoa; Chordata; Mammalia; Primates; Hominidae.